Molecule: ribosomal RNA, 484 nt
Filed under: uncultured bacterium
Lineage: Bacteria
Description: partial 16S ribosomal RNA
Rfam family: Bacterial small subunit ribosomal RNA
Source: RNAcentral
AUUGAACGCUGGCGGCAUGCUUUACACAUGCAAGUCGAACGGCAGCGCGGGCUUCGGCCUGGCGGCGAGUGGCGAACGGGUGAGUAAUACAUCGGAACGUGCCCAGUCGUGGGGGAUAGCUCGGCGAAAGCCGGAUUAAUACCGCAUACGACCUGAGGGUGAAAUCGGGUGAUCUUCGGACCUCGCGCUAUUGGAGCGGCCGAUGGCAGAUUAGCUAGUUGGUGGGGUAAAGGCCUACCAAGGCGACGAUCUGUAGCUGGUCUGAGAGGACGACCAGCCACACUGGGACUGAGACACGGCCCAGACUCCUACGGGAGGCAGCAGUGGGGAAUUUUGGACAAAGGGCGAAAGCCUGAUCCAGCAAUGCCGCGUGUGUGAUGAAGGCCUUCGGGUUGUAAAGCACUUUUGGCGGGAACGAAAAGGACUGUGCCAAUACCACGGUUCGAUGACGGUACCCGCAGAAUAAGCACCGGCUAACUACGUG